RNAcentral lists this ribosomal RNA (477 nucleotides) under uncultured anaerobic ammonium-oxidizing bacterium. RNAcentral describes it as "bacterial SSU rRNA". It matches the Rfam family "Bacterial small subunit ribosomal RNA", at positions 365 to 832 of the family's 1533-position model. The record is from RNAcentral.
UUCGCAAUGCCCGAAAGGGUGACGAAGCGACGCCGCGUGAGCGAAGAAGGCCCUAGGGUUGUAAAGCUCUGUCGGGGGCUAUGAAGUGUAGGCUGGCUAAUACCCAGUUUAUUUGACAAAGGCCCCAAAGGAAGCCACGGCUAACUCUGUGCCAGCAGCCGCGGUAAUACAGAGGUGGCAAGCGUUGUUCGGUAUUAUUGGGCGUAAAGAGCACGUAGGUGGUUUUGUAAGUCAGAUGUGAAAGCCUUCUGUUCAAAGGAAGAACGGCAUCUGAAACUGCAGAUCUUGAGUGUAGGAGGGGAGAGUGGAACUUCUGGUGGAGCGGUGAAAUGCGUAGAUAUCAGAAGGAACGUCGGCGGCGAAAGCGACUCUCUGGCCUAUUACUGACACUGAGUGUGCGAAAGUUAGGGGAGCAAACGGGAUUAGAUACCCCGGUAGUCCUAACUGUAAACGAUGGGCACUAAGUAGAGGGGUUUU